GAGUGAUCAAGUGUCUUAAGGGCAUUUGGUGGAUGCCUUGGCAUGCACAGGCGAUGAAGGACGUGAUACGCUGCGAUAAGCGUCGGGGAGGUGCGAAUACCCUUUGAUCCGACGAUUUCCGAAUGGGGCAACCCACCUUAGAUAGCUAGAAAAUCUGAAUUGUUGGCGCGCAAGCAAGAACAGUUCAACUUUCUAGUUAUCGUAAUAAGGUAUCUACACCUGAAUACAUAGGGUGUUAGAAGCGAACCUGGGGAACUGAAACAUCUAAGUACCCAGAGGAAAGGACAUCAAACGAGACUCCGCUAGUAGUGGCGAGCGAACGCGGACCAGGCCAGUGGCUUAUAUGAGUAAAGUGGAACAACUUGGAAAAGUUGGCUAGAGUGGGUGAUAGCCCCGUACACGCAACACGAUUAUAAGUCCUUGAGUAGGGCGGGACACGUGAAAUCCUGUCUGAACAUGGGUCGACCACGAUCCAAGCCUAAGUACUCGUGCAUGACCGAUAGCGAACCAGUACCGUGAGGGAAAGGUGAAAAGCACCCCGACGAGGGGAGUGAAAUAGUACCUGAAACCGAAUGCCUACAAACAGUUGGAGCCCAAGGUUCGUCCUGGGUGACAGCGUACCUUUUGUAUAAUGGGUCAGCGACUUAGUCUGACGAGCAAGCUUAAGCCGGUAGGUGUAGGCGCAGCGAAAGCGAGUCUGAACAGGGCGUUCAGUUCGUCGGAUUAGACCCGAAACCAAGUGAUCUAGCCAUGAGCAGGUUGAAGGUACGGUAACACGUACUGGAGGACCGAACCCAUAUCUGUUGCAAUAGAUCGGGAUGACUUGUGGCUAGGGGUGAAAGGCCAAUCAAACUUGGAGAUAGCUGGUUCUCCGCGAAAUCUAUUUAGGUAGAGCGUCCAGCGAAUACCCCCGGGGGUAGAGCACUGAAUGGGCUAUGGGGACUCACCGUCUUACUGAUCCUAAUCAAACUCCGAAUACCGGGGAGUACUACUGGGCAGACACACGGCGGGUGCUAACGUCCGUCGUGAAGAGGGCAACAACCCUGACCACCAUCUAAGGUCCCUAAGUUAUGGCUAAGUGGGAAAGGAUGUGAGGAUCCCAAAACAACCAGGAUGUUGGCUUAGAAGCAGCCAUCAUUUAAAGAAAGCGUAACAGCUCACUGGUCUAAAUAAGGGUCUUUGCGCCGAAAAUGUACCGGGGCUAAAGCCAUACACCGAAGCUGUGGAUGCACGUAUGUGCGUGGUAGCGGAGCGUUCCGUAAGCCUGUGAAGGGACAGUCGUGAGACAUCCUGGAGGUAUCGGAAGUGAGAAUGCUGACAUGAGUAACGAUAAAGGGAGUGAGAGACUCCCUCGCCGAAAGUCCAAGGGUUCCUGCUUAAAGUUAAUCUGAGCAGGGUUAGCCGGCCCCUAAGGCGAGGCCGAAAGGCGUAGUCGAUGGGAACCACGUUAAUAUUCGUGGGCCUGCAGGUAGUGACGGAUCGCGUGUGUUGUAAGGUCUUAUUGGAUUGAUCUUGCAGCGAAGCGGUUCCAGGAAAUAGCUCCUGCAUAUAGACCGUACCCUAAACCGACACUGGUGGACUGGUAGAGAAUACCAAGGCGCUUGAGAGAACUGCGUUGAAGGAACUCGGCAAAAUGCACGCGUAACUUCGGAAGAAGCGUGACCUCCAUUUAGGCAACUAGGUGGGGGUGGCACAGACCAGGGGGUAGCGACUGUUUACCAAAAACACAGGGCUCUGCGAAGUCGCAAGACGACGUAUAGGGUCUGACGCCUGCCCGGUGCUGGAAGGUUAAGAGGAGAUGUGCAAGCAUUGAAUUGAAGCCCCAGUAAACGGCGGCCGUAACUAUAACGGUCCUAAGGUAGCGAAAUUCCUUGUCGGGUAAGUUCCGACCUGCACGAAUGGCGUAACGACUUCCCCGCUGUCUCCAACGCAGACUCAGUGAAAUUGAAUUCCCCGUGAAGAUGCGGGGUUCCUGCGGUUAGACGGAAAGACCCCGUGCACCUUUACUAUAGCUUUACACUGGCAUUCGUGUCGGCAUGUGUAGGAUAGGUGGUAGACUUUGAAGCAGUGGCGCCAGCCAUUGUGGAGUCAUCCUUGAAAUACCACCCUUGCCUAUAUGGAUGUCUAACUGCGGCCCGUUAUCCGGGUCCAGGACCGUGUAUGGUGGGUAGUUUGACUGGGGCGGUCGCCUCCUAAAGAGUAACGGAG
RNAcentral lists this ribosomal RNA (2208 nucleotides) under Ochrobactrum sp. P6BS-III. RNAcentral's name for it is "bacterial LSU rRNA". It matches the Rfam family "Bacterial large subunit ribosomal RNA", at positions 1 to 2305 of the family's 2925-position model. Lineage: Bacteria; Pseudomonadati; Pseudomonadota; Alphaproteobacteria; Hyphomicrobiales; Brucellaceae. The record is from RNAcentral.